GACGCAACAGACCCAGAACAUUAUCAUCUGAGAUCCUCGGCAUGUCAUAUGAACGCAUUUUGUCCAUCCAAAGUUUGAGUGAGGUUGAGAACCCAUGGAAAAGCAUUACUCUGAACCGUUGCAUAGUGUUGGCCAUCAUCAUUGUGCUUGUGAGCUCAGGGGUGAAUGAAAUACAUGAUGCUCUGGAUGUACUUCUAGAGGAGAAUGAUCUUCCUCAGAUGUUCCUUGGAGGCACGGGUCUACAACCAGACGGCAUAGCUCAGCCUGCAGCCUCUCUGUGGGACAGCUUGCUGAGUUGGGGCUCAGACGAUGGAAGAAAAGGAAAUCCCAAGAGAAGAGGGGGAAUCUUGAGAAUCAGAAAUAGAGAUGUUUCCGACAAAGGGCUGUUAAAGGAAUGA
Molecule: long non-coding RNA, 398 nt
Organism: Oncorhynchus kisutch (coho salmon)
Lineage: Eukaryota; Metazoa; Chordata; Actinopteri; Salmoniformes; Salmonidae
Source: Ensembl